This 324-nucleotide long non-coding RNA is filed under the name Anser brachyrhynchus (Pink-footed goose). RNAcentral describes it as "lncRNA (ENSABRG00000011705.1)". Lineage: Eukaryota; Metazoa; Chordata; Aves; Anseriformes; Anatidae. The record is from RNAcentral.
CUCCCAUAAGACUGUGACUCUGUACAACAAUUUUGUGUUUGAUCCUUGUGUAGGAACAGUCCUUUUGAACGACAGCAUCUUUAGCAGACGAUUUAAUGCAGCGAUUUUUUAAAGCAAAGAAACUAACUGAAAUGAUGUUGAGGUAUGAUGCUGUGCUGUCAGAGCUGCCAUGGAAAUUGCUGGCGCCUAGGGGGACAGACAGGGAAGAACAUUCAAGGUGUGUGGGUGAAAGGUGAACACCAGCAACAAGCAUCCUGCUGAGCUCAAAGCUGAAAACAUACCAGUACAGAUUCUGUAAGAGUACAAUAAAUACAGUCACCUAAG